This 428-nucleotide ribosomal RNA is filed under the name uncultured bacterium. RNAcentral describes it as "bacterial SSU rRNA". It matches the Rfam family "Bacterial small subunit ribosomal RNA", at positions 354 to 796 of the family's 1533-position model. The record is from RNAcentral.
GUAGGGAAUAUUGCACAAUGGGGGAAACCCUGAUGCAGCGACGCCGCGUGAGUGAUGAAGGCCUUCGGGUCGUAAAGCUCUGUCGUAUGGGACUAACACAAUGAAGGUACCAUGCAAGAAAGGAUCGGCUAACUUCGUGCCAGCAGCCGCGGUAAGACGAGGGAUCCUAGCGUUGUUCGGAAUCAUUGGGCGUAAAGCGGGUGUAGGCGGCUUUAUAAGUCAGGUGUGAAAUCCCAGGGCUCAACCCUGGAAGUGUACUUGAUACUGUAAAUCUUGAGUGUGGUAGAGGUUACUGGAAUUGUUGGUGUAGUGGUGAAAUACGUAGAUAUCAACAGGAAUACCGGAGGCGAAGGCGAGUAACUGGGCCAACACUGACGCUGAGACCCGAAAGCGUGGGGAUCAAACAGGAUUAGAAACCCGAGUAGUCC